UUGCGACCCCAGGUCAGGCGGGAUUA
RNAcentral lists this ribosomal RNA (26 nucleotides) under Manilkara huberi. Its description in RNAcentral is "partial 26S ribosomal RNA". The record is from RNAcentral. Lineage: Eukaryota; Viridiplantae; Streptophyta; Magnoliopsida; Ericales; Sapotaceae. RNAcentral also lists the same sequence under 11 other names.